Molecule: long non-coding RNA, 1552 nt
Organism: Oryctolagus cuniculus (rabbit)
Lineage: Eukaryota; Metazoa; Chordata; Mammalia; Lagomorpha; Leporidae
Source: Ensembl
AACUGCAUGGUACACAGGAAUUUAAUGUACACGUGGCUGCAAGCCCUUUCUCUUCCCUCUCCUACAUGCUAAUGGCAGUUUGCUUCUGCCUUCAAGCUAGAACCAUAUAGUUGCUCUACUUCCAUCAUUUCAUCUCUGGAUUUCUUCUCCACUGACCAUGUAUGUGCACCUUGCUAAAUGCUUCUAAUGAUUCUUAGCAUACUAGGUACACUUUUCACUUUUCCUGUAAGUUUCAGCUUUCUUGUAAAACGCAGGCUAUAACUCUCUGGAAAUCUCCUUUCCUUUCAUCUGGAAAAGUUAACUCAGUGAUGUCUUAGGUAGUAGUUCAUCUGUUUAGAGUUAUUUGGGGGCAUUUUUACAGCUAACUCCUUGUUCCAAACCAAAAAGCUGGACUCUACACAAAGUUUACUGUGAAAUAGUUAAACUUUGCUUUUACACAUAUUACUAAGCUCAAAGAACGCAAAAAAGUUUAAGAGUUGCAUGUUUUAAAAGUGUAUUGGCUGCAAAAUAGCUCCAGGUUCUGCUUCCCCGAUAAUUACUGUUCCAGUCCCCAUCUCUUAAUAACUGUUUUUAGAAAUGAAUCGGCUAUCACAUACACAUGGCAGCAAUCCAACUGCAGAAAAACGUAAUAAAACACCCAGACAAUUCAGUUCACAAAAAAAUAAAUCUCAGAAAAAUCAUAAAUUCAGUUAACACAUGAGCACUUUCUAAGCAUUCGCUAGAGCAAUGAAGAAGGACGGCAAUGGUUACACAGUUAGCACAUCUGAGUAACUACUUUUCAAUGCGACCUCUGGGAAUCCAAGUUCAGUACUCUUAAGGUUAAAAAACACAACAAAACCCUGAGCUUUUAAAACUACAAGUUCAUUUAGUGUGGGAUUACCCACAUCUAUACUUGGAGCCAAGGACUCUUGAGAGCAGACUGCUUGAACCUUACUCUGAUUCUCUCCCCAGGAAAAUCCUACAUACGUGCAGCGCAGAAACAGAAGCAACUAGUCAGGUGUCUUUUAACAAAUACGCUGCAGAGGAAACGAGGGAACCUAACCUGCUUACUAAAGGAUCAACAGCAAAAGCUUAAAAAAAAAAAAAAAAGAAAAAACCACGAGAAAAGUAUUUUUAUUUUUGCCUAAACAGGCUGCAUAUCAUGCUGGGCACUCCUACUGCCAAAAAUCUGCCAUCAUUUUAUUUUGAACAUGUUGUCCCUUGGUCUCUGAAUCUCUGCAGUGUUUGUGGGUGGGUGUGGAUAUGGAUAUGAAUGUGGUUGUGCAUUCCUUUGUAUGCAUUUAUUUUGAAAAAUUUAGGGGUUGGAUUAAAAGCAAAACUUUUUCUCAGAUGAGAGGGAAUAAGGUUUAAUCAUUACUAUUUUCCAGACCCUUUCACCAUUUUUCCACAAUUAAAACUUAUUAUGGGGACUUUUGUUUAAACAUGGAGGAUUGAAACAUGCAAUUAACAAUUUCCAUACCCUCUUCUAAGCUCCCAUAAAAUGGCAGCAAAAUAAUUUUAACAAAAAGGCUUAAACAAUAAACACAAAACCGAAAAGAAUAGGAAGGAGAUU